CUUAAACCUCCUCAUGUACUUUGGAAAUGGGAGAGGUUAUAAGAAGGGGAGGCUGUUGCCCAAAUAUGCAGCCCAAGAGGGGGGGUGAAUUGGGCUUUUAAAUCUUUUUAACUAUUUCUAAACUUUUGCGUUAAUUAAGCUAAGUUAUAUGGAUAAACAAUGUAAUUUAAACUUAGCAACAAAUUAAUUCUUAUCUAAUCAAGAUUAGAACUAUUAAGCAGCGGAUAAAUGAGCUCAAUAAAACA
This 245-nucleotide long non-coding RNA is filed under the name Phoenix dactylifera (date palm). RNAcentral's name for it is "long non-coding RNA (PDAC_LNC008494)". Lineage: Eukaryota; Viridiplantae; Streptophyta; Magnoliopsida; Arecales; Arecaceae. The record is from RNAcentral.